Molecule: long non-coding RNA, 2195 nt
Organism: Magnolia sinica
Lineage: Eukaryota; Viridiplantae; Streptophyta; Magnoliopsida; Magnoliales; Magnoliaceae
Exons: 3
Source: RefSeq, a predicted model, not a curated record
AGUUGUGUUGUUAAAGUUAAAAAUUAUGCAGUUGUGUUGUUAACAAUGCAUGGACCUAUGUCUUGAAUGCAGUCAAACUAUUAACAAUGCAUUACUGUAUCUCUUUUAGCGAGUUUCAGUAUUCACCACUGGAUUGGAUGGGCACAUAUAACUUUUAGCUUUAGUGAGAGCGAUUCAUUUUGUUGCUUUAGAAAUCGUCAUGGAUUUUCACUUAUAGUAAAAUUGGUUUAAAUCAGUUCUUAAGAAAUUCUAUAACUUCAGGUAAGCUGGAAUUGCAUUCGCCUGGUAUUGACAUCUAUAGUAUUGAAUUGAAUUAUUGUAACUCAAUUCAGUUGAAUAUCCAAAUGCAGCAUUAACAAUUCAACAAAAGCUGUUGGACAAACAUGUAUUUUAGAGCAUCUGCUGUUCGCUUGUGAUACUUUCCUGGUCUUGCAACAGUCGAUUCCUUUCUAUUUCAUUUUCUGCUUUAUUCUAAACUAAAGUCAUGAUUGUCCAACUAGUCUGUUUCUUUCAUGCUUUACUAAUUCUGUGUUUGUUUUUGCUAAGGUUGCAUGUGCCUCUGUAUGUGGCCAUACGUGCCACCUGGCUUGUGGGAUAUAUGGGCUGUUGAUCAGGUGAGCUUCACCAUGCAGCUGAACGGGCUCAUAAAUCAGGCUAGUCCAGUCAUCUGGUGAGCCAUGUGUGGAUUCAAUGUGGGUCUCUGGCAAUUUUCACUAUACCAUCCAUUUUGUUCCAGCAUGUGUGGCCUGCCUGAUUUUCAGACCAGAUCAUCUGAAGGGUAGAACCCUCUUGCGUGGCUGAGAUGUCCCUCACAUGGUUACCAUGUGUGGCCAUGCAUGAGCUUAGCACUGCUACUGUGUUCAAACAUCUCCUCAUCUGCCAGUGACCUAGAAGUUGUAAUACUUAACAAGGCAUGUCGAGGUUUUAUUCUCUCUUAUGUUGUCAUCCUCUGCUUUCCAGGUUUUGUCUGGUUGGUCCCUGGCCUGCAUUUACAUCUUGGCUGUUAACAUCUGGUGACUAUGGUAAAGGUAAAGAUAGGCCCAUAUGCUUAUUUAUAGGAAAAUGACCAAAACAAACCCAGUUGCUCCUGUUGACAGGACAAUCUUUCUACCCAGAAAGAAUGAUUGUGCUAUGCUCAUAAACUGUUAGUGCUAUAUAGAUCAAGAUGUAUCUGUUGUUUGUGGGUAUUGUCUUCUCAUAGUGGCUGAGUUGAGAAUGCAUUGUCAGAUAGAAAGACUGAGGAGGCUUGCCAUCUCCGCUCCAUCAUGUGGUGAUCGGGUCUUUAAUCUUGAAAAUCUACCUGCAGAUGGGCUGCGUGGCGCUUUUAGUUUCUGGUGCUUGUGAUGGCUCACUUGUAGUCUGGAGUGCUGACCAUGCUCAAGAGUCGCGUGAACUUGUUCCCAAGCUGAGUUUGAAGGUCCUUGAUGCCUGCCAUGUGCUCUUAUGUUACUUAUCUGCACAGAGAUUGGACUGCUCUAAUCACCCAUUUAUGGCAAGUUUCGCCUGUUGAAUGUUGAUGGAUGUUUGUAUUUUGAGUUAACUGUACCUUUUCAGGCUACUGACCGGAUGUGUGUAGGACAUUCAAUCCAUGCUUUAUGUUAUGUAUGCUCCAUCAUGAAGAUCACUGGCACGCAAAUCAGGUCUGUUGCUCAUCAGGCGAACACCCUAUAUGAAAACAGCUCAUGAUUUAAAUAAGAGUUGCCACUUUCUGAUUCGAUUUACACUUGUGUCCCACCGGAUGACCAGAUUGGCCUGAUUAUUGUCUUGGGUGAUCAUAGUCAAAUUACACCAUGCCAACUUAACAACUCCUGGAUUUGAUACAUGAAGGAUUUCAGACUCAAAUCUGAUUCCCAAUGUUUAAAUAUAUCAAGUUUACAACUGGUGUGUGUAUUAUAUAUAUAUAUAUGCACUUAUUAUUUUUCUAAAUGAUUAUAAAAGAGCACGUUUCCUCGCCCCAACAAUGUUUUACUGUGCUAGAUGUUUUUCUUUGUUUUGUCAUUAAUAAUGCUUUUCUUAAACUUCAGGUUCCUCAUGAACCAUCCUUGCAUAUGGAUGAUUUUGUCCGCAUCAAAACCUGCAUGUAGGCGUGUUCUAAAAUCUAUUACACAACAAAAUGGGUAUUACUAUUACCUGUUUCCUUUUCAUAGGACUUGAUAUUUUGUCUGUUUAAGGGUCUGGAUGGUUAUUCAGUUCAA